Long non-coding RNA from Marmota monax (woodchuck), 4455 nucleotides. RefSeq lists it as uncharacterized. NCBI's taxonomy places the organism in Eukaryota, Metazoa, Chordata, Mammalia, Rodentia, Sciuridae. The record is from RefSeq and is a predicted model, not a curated record. The transcript has 3 exons.
AGCCGCCCGCCGCCGCUGCACCCAGCUCCCGGCCCCGCGAGGCGCGCGCAGCUGCGCCGGGGCCUGUCCUCGCCUCACCCCCACUCUGCCCCUUCGGUAUUUCUCAAUGACCGCCGCUGCGAGGACACUUCCGACGCGGGAGGGAGGGGUGUCAUUAGCGCUUGGUUUAUCAGUUCCUUCCGGUCUGCCCCGACCCAGCCCUGCGCCCUGCCUGGCCGCGCCUCGGGCGCUCUGCUGCCUUUAUUGUUAGGUUUAAAUAGGCAGUCGUGUGUGCCAGUGUGUGCCAAGUGAGUUUGUAGCCCAGCUGUCUCCCCCAAGACGGUUUCCCGCUGGCAGCAAUGGAAACCCAAGCUACUCUGGUCAUUUUCCCUUUCGGCUGCAAUGCCGGGAUUUAAAAUAGCUGAGAUGAAAGGCCCCAGCCCCCGCCUCCCUCCUCCCCUGAGUUCAUGUAUUAUGAAUGAAACGCCAGCCCUGCCGUGUCCUGAGGUCUUCGCUUCAGGCCUGGAACUUGUUGCCUGGAACCUUCUGCCUCAGACUCCGGUAGCUGGGAUUACAGGUGUGCAAGACCACACAAAGCCUGACCAAAUCUUGAAGGAUGGCAUUAUGGCUGGAUUGCCCAUGGAUAACUGGAAGAGGGGUCUCCAGGACAAAAAGCCCAGUGAACACAAAGGCCCUGAGAUGUGAGCUGGUAUUAGGAACUAGAGGAAAGAGGUAACAGAAAGGGGAGAAGGCGAAGAGCUGGGUCUGGAAGGCCAGACAGCCCACACUAAAGGAGGUUAGGUUUUUUUUUGAAGUCGUGAACCUUUUGUAGUAGGUUCACAGCUGAUCUUUAUUCAGUCACAGAUCAUUGCUGUGGCCUCUAUAGUUAUGCAAAUGUAGGGCAAGUGGGCAUCCAUUGUUCCGGGAUUAGGGAAUCAAAUCAAAUUCAAAAACUGACAGCUCAUAAACCAGAUAAGGCCCUAGACAAGUUUGGUUUUGCCUGCUUUUUUAAAAAUAAAGCUGACAGUUUAAAACUAGAAUAUUUCAUAUAAAACUCAAGAUUUGUGGUUCCUCCUGAUGGGGGGGGAAAUGAAAGAUCCUGGCAACUGUGAGUGCCAAAUUCCUGCUUGGUAGUAACCGAUUGUUGCUAAGUAGCUGCUGCUCCAGCUUCAGGCUCCUAGAGGCAUUUGAGUUUUUGACCCCUGGCAUGAAAGACAGUUUUGUAACUGGAUCAAGCCUCACUCUGAGACCCCAGGUAGGUAGAGCUUGUCACUGGGUUAAACAAUUUGCAUGAGGAGCCCUGGGCCUCUUGGGAGGAAAGACAUCAAUUUCAAUCUCCUUCCUCAAAAUACUGUAUUAAGUGGCCAAACCAGGCAGGGUGCCUUAGAAUGGGCCUAACCACAGCCCAGUGACAGGCAACAGUGAAGUUCCUAAAUAACAACUAAUGCGUAUCCCAGCUCAGGCUGUUUCUAGGGAAACCCACCUAAAAUAGUAGACUAUCUGUCACAUGGGGAGCUGGGCAUUCAAGUGAUCAGCUGGAAAAAUCCCCAAACGGGAUCAGGCUUGUAUCCCAAAUUUGUAGAACAUUGCAAGUCACACAGCCAAACUUUUUAUGUAGGAAAUGCUAGACUCAGAUGUUACACUUUUAAUAAAUUUAUUACUUCAGGUAUGGUUUUUUGGGAGCCAAGCGAAAGAUUACUUAGGAAGAAAUUUUCUUCUUCCAUGACAGGAAUAACAGUAUAUGACAAAGCACAGUGGCAGUGGCCAUGGAGAGAGAUAACCAAUUCCAAAGACACAAAUGGGGUAGAAAUGACUUGGCCUUUUGAUCUGUUAGAUAUUAAGACUAAUGAAGAGGUCUGGGAUAAUUUCCAAGUUUCUGACUUAGAAAAUUUGGUGCCUCCUGGUGCCUUUAACAUGAUUAGGGCAAUUGGUGAGGAGGAGGGCUACUACUCAAAUCUGAGAUCCAGAAAAUAGGUCAGGGAUUGAGGGAUACAGAUGGGCCAAGACCAAAGAAAACAGAACUCAGAUAUGGAGAUGGGGAGACCAUCCCCUGGGGCUAUGAUUAUAGCAGCUGGAUUCAAUUGGGUUGGAAGUUUAGGGAUGAUCUGGACUUUUAAAAUGCAAAAUAUAAGCCAGAUGCUGUGGCCCAUGCUUAUAAUCCUAGCUAUUCUAGACUGGAGCAUAUCAAAUCUAAGGUUUGCCUCAGCAACUUGGUGAGACUCUAUCUCAAAAAAUAAGGAUAGGUGUGGUAGUGCACACUGGUAAUCCCAGUAAUUCUGGAGGCUGAGGCAGGAGGAUUGCAGGUUCAAAGCCAGCCUCAGCAACUUAAUGAGGCCCUAAGCAACUUAGUCUCAAAAUAGAAAAGGCUAGGGAUGUGGCUCAGGGAUUAAGCAACCAUGAGUUCAAUCUCUGGUACGAAAUUAAGGGAAAAAAAAAAUAAAAAAGGACUGGGGAGGAUGUAGCUCAGCGGUAGAAUACCCCUAGAUUCAAUCCUCAGUACCAAAAAAAGAUGCAAAAUCUAAUACAUCCAUUUUCUUGGGGGCGGGGGGCAGGGUGGUGCGUGUACUAGGGAUUGAACCCAUCCCCAGCCCUUAUUUUUAGAUUUUGUUUUGAGACAGGGUCUCGAUAAGUCCCUUAGGGCCUUGAUUUGAAGUUGCUGAGGCUGGCUUUGAACUCCUGCCACAGCCUCCCAGGCCACUGGGAUUACAGGUGUGAGCCAUCACUCCUGGCUACAUUCAUUUUUUUCUUUUUUUUUUUCCUUGAGCUAGGUUGACUCAGGCUUCUGUCACUUAUAGACAAAAAAAUUUUUACCUACCAAAAUAGAAAAACAUACCUUGAAUAGCAAGAAAGAUUGAGGAAACUAAAGAAUCUAAUAGAAAGGGAAUUUUAGAAUGUGGGUUUGCAAUUUAACACAGGGCCAUCUGGGGUCAGUGCCAGGGAGUUUCACAAAGAUUCUGAUUUAAUAGAACAAUUUUUUUCUUUGGAGUUAAUCAACAAUUUAUGGGUUGCAAUGGUUUAUCAUUUUAGUUAGAGUAUCCUGCCAUCUUCAUUUUAAGUCACAUCUCCAACUCUGUUACUUUUUUGUUUUUUUAGACAUGGCCUCACUGUGUCACCCAGGCUGGCCUUGAGCUUGUGAUCCGAUCCUUCCUGCCUCAGCCGCCUGAGUAUUCCUUUCACUGUUUAUAUCAUGUCUGGUUUUUACCUUUACUCUCUAUCUCCUUUAUUCCAUAAAAGCAACAGCUGAGCUUAAUAAUAUAAGAGAAUCAGAGCUUUUAGGAUUGGAAGAAGUGAUAGACCAUAUGUUUGUGGCAACUGUGGGUGCAGUAAACCAAAUAUCUUUUUUUUUUUUGGUGGGGUGGUGAUACUGGGAAUUGAACCCUGACCUCAUACAACUGAGCUAUUUUCCCAGCCCAAACCAAAUGUCUUUUUUGGAAUGGAUAAAGAUUAAAAAAGGAAAAUAAAAUAUGUUCCUUGUAUCAGUUCAAUUUUGCUAUAGCAAACCAUUUCAAUAAAUAUUAUGGCUUAAAAUGACAAACAUUUGCCAGGGGUAUUGGCACUAGUCUAUAAUCCCAGCUACUCAGAGAUUAAGACAGGAGAAUCCCAAAAGGCCAGCUUGGGCAAGCAACCCUGUCUCAAAAUAAAUAAGAAGGACUAAGUGGAAGGGUGCUUGUCUAACAGGCAUGAGGCCAGGGGUUCAAUCCCCAGUACCAAAACAAAACAAAAACAAAAAAAAAGAGGACAAAUAUUUUACUCUUUCUUAUGAGUCUUUGGUGUGUCAGUUUGUUGUGAUUUUGUGGCCUGGACAGGUUCAGCUGGGACCAAAUGGGGAUGGCCUCAUUGGCAGAUGUGAUGAUUGUCAAGCUGAUUGAUCUAGUAUGGCUUGAGCUGGGCUAGUUCAUCUCUGCUCCACAUGAUCUGUUGUUAUCUUCUAGCAAGCCAACUCAAGUGGAAUCACAUGGUGGUAUGGAAGGGUUACCAGGUUAUCAAGAAGUCAAACCCCCAAUAUGUAUGCUUUUUUUUUUUAAGUCUCUGCUUGCAUCUAUUUGUUAAUAUCCCAUUAGCCAAAGAAGUUAUUAUCCUUGGAGUGUCCAGUUUGGCUCCAGGUUCAUUCUGUCCUCCAACAAAGAAUUGAGCAUGACACACACAAGUAACAGGCAAAGUACAGAUUUAUUGAAGGUGAGGAUAGCAUUCUGUUAGGUAGAGUGGAAUGAGCCAAGCAAGAGAAAGGCUCAAGACCCUAGUGUCUGGAAAUCAGUGUCUUAUACACUAAGCUGUAAGGCAUUCUCUUCCCUAUACUGACCAAAUUGAAGACCUUACCCCUUGCUCCCAUUGGUUACCUUAUAAUACCUGAUUUGAAUAUGUCUAAUCCUCACCCCCAUCAGUUACUUUAGGAAACCUAGAACACUGCCCACUUUAGCCCCAUCAGUCAUUUUAUUUUAUUUAUUUUUUUUAAAAUAUUUAUUUAUUUAUUUUAGU